GCAGAGUCUAAUAGUUUGCAGUUUUCAUGUGUUUUUUUUUUCCUAAAUUGAGACAUAUUUUAAAUGUCUGUCUGCAUUUUUUAUGACAGAUUUGAUCCUCCUGGACGUGGAUGAUCCCAGACGGCCACAAAUCUGUGCAGAGAUGUUCUUUACACAUAAUUCUCUUCAGCUGUUCUUCGCUGCAGCAUCGUUAGAACUCAGCUUGGAUUCGAGUCAGGCGGCAUACUUGGCCUUCGUUUUUUUUUUUUUUUUUUUUGCUUUCUGCGCCUCCUACCCGCUGCUGCAGCUGUGUUUCCACUUAUGUUCAGUAGCCUGGGCAUGCUUUGGUGCCGUCUCUCAUCCCUAAAAAGUCUCACAUUCUGAUGUCUUAUUUGUUCUAGCAGUUCUUUAUCAUGUGGAGCUGUUGUCGCACCAGAACGUUUUUGUAUUGUAAAUAAAUUAAGACAGGAGUAGGGCUGAAACGGUAGAACGCUGAUGCAGACAAACCUCCAUCAGAGAAACCUGGAAAGAAUAGAAGGUGUUGGUCAGUCAAAGUGGAAACAGGAAGAUACAGGGAAGGUGAUCACCAGUAGGUUCCUUCAUAGGGUUAUCUUGGUGUCUGCAAUGAUGAUUUAUGAUUUACACGAUUGACAAUUUUCUCUUAGAGCAGGGGGUGUAAGUAGUGAACUGGUGGUUUAGUUUAUCAAAUGAUUUUAGUUUGGUUUGCAAGUACAGCAACCUUUUUCUCGUUAGCGCUAAGUUUGCACGUUGCAGGCACCAAUUUGUGGAUCAAACGGCUGAAAAUUAAAAUUAUCCGACUCAUUUUGUUCCUGGUAAUGGAUGUUUAAUCACAUGAAGUUGGAGGCUCUGUCUGCUGCCUAUAAAGCCUUUUAAAGUUCACCAGAUUAAAGGACUCUUAGCAGCACUUUGUCUUAAAUUCUGACGUUAAACUUUAAUGUACAAAAGCGGGAAAAUAAAGGACGUAAUAUUGCUUCCUUUGUACAUGAGCAUCAUACUGUUUAUGCACUACAUCACUGUGUAGAAGCACAUGUCAGACUUAUAGCAGCUCUCCUGUCCAAUCUGCUCUUUCUACGUUGGAUUAAAUCACAAGCGAAGUGACUCAUCAAAGGCCACCACGUCUCCAUAAAACUGCUGUCUUUCAAACAGCAGCUUGAAAUGGAAAAAACUCUGGUAUGUUUUAGGCCCGUUAAAGUGGUGCUUCGUCAAUGAGCUGCUGCACAAGUCGGGUCAAACUCAGGCAGCGGUUGCUGAGAUCAGACCUUCGGCCUCGAGUUCAACCAGAAUGUUUUGCCUCAGAUUUUACAAACCACCUCCAGAGUUGCAUUAUAGUAGUGAACUGCUUGAGUUUCCUGCAAAAAAACAAAACAAUUUAUCAUCAGAUCAUCAUCAUUCGAAGUGAUUUCAAGCUGCAGAGUGACUGUGUGGCCUGCAGCACAUAGAACCACUGCUGCUGCCGCCCGGUCAUAGGAGGCGAUUGUUCUCUCACAGUCAGACGGUUUAGAAGCCCGGAGGAUGGCAGCUCCCCCGGGAUCGGCUUCAGCACCAUAUGCUCACUGGUUCCGUUGAAUCUCUCUCACGCCAACUGUUGCUCUGCGCUAACCUUUAACCUCAGAAUUCAUAUGCAGCCACAGCUGAUGCGUUUGGUGGCAGAACUCCUCCCUCUUCUCUGAUUCUCUUUCUUUUCUUUUUUUUGUCCCUUUACCCGCUAAAACGAAGUCUGUUAAUUUGGUCGGGCCGUCAUCUGUCGAGUUCAGUUAGCAGACUGCGGUGAUGUGCAGGAGUUGGACGGAGGGAGGAGUUCCCACAGUCACUAAGUCUGAGUGCUUCCAAAAACACAGGUUCUCACAAUAUUGUGUUUGGAGUGUGUUUUUUAAAGCUCAGGGGAAGUUUUUCCUUCAGCUGAGUCGUGUGUUUGAUGAGACAGACUGUAAUUUAAUUUGGCUGAAUAAUCCCCCCCCACAGUGGACUCACCUGCUUCCUCUCAGACGUCCACACCUCAGGAACAGAACUCCAAAAUCACAGGGACGGAUGUGUUUGAGGAACAAACUGUAUGUUGUGUGUCUGAAACAGGGCUUCACUGAAAUCCACAAAAAGUAGAAUUACUACAAUAAAACAGAGUGUUUGCAGAAUAGCAAAUGUUCACACUAAUAAACA
This is a long non-coding RNA of Stegastes partitus (bicolor damselfish), 2154 nucleotides long. RefSeq lists it as uncharacterized. NCBI's taxonomy places the organism in Eukaryota, Metazoa, Chordata, Actinopteri, Pomacentridae. The record is from RefSeq and is a predicted model, not a curated record. The transcript has 2 exons.